GGUGGUAGUGUCAGUGUUAGUGGUGGUAGUGUCAGUGUUAAGUGGUGGUAGUGUCAGUGUUAAGUGGUGGUAGUGUCAGUGUUAAGUGGUGGUAGUGUCAGUGUUAAGUGGUGGUAGUGUCAGUGUUAAGUGGGGGUAUUUUCAUUUUUAAGUGGUGGUAGUGUCAGUGUUAAGUGGUGGUAGUGUCAUUGUUAAGUGGUGGUAUUGUCAGUGUUAAGUGGUGGUAGUGUCAGUGUUAAGUGGUGGUAGUGUCAGUGUUAAGUGGUGGUAUUGUCAUUGUUAAGUGGUGGUAGUGUCAGUGUUAAGUGGUGGUAGUGUCAGUGUUAAGUGGUGGUAUUGUCAUUGUUAAGUGGUGGUAUUGUCAUUUUUAGUGGUGGUAGUGUCAGUGUUAAGUGGUGGUAGU
This is a non-coding RNA of Cherax quadricarinatus, 403 nucleotides long. NCBI's taxonomy places the organism in Eukaryota, Metazoa, Arthropoda, Malacostraca, Decapoda, Parastacidae. The record is from RefSeq and is a predicted model, not a curated record.